RNAcentral lists this ribosomal RNA (325 nucleotides) under uncultured bacterium. Its description in RNAcentral is "bacterial SSU rRNA". It matches the Rfam family "Bacterial small subunit ribosomal RNA", at positions 28 to 334 of the family's 1533-position model. The record is from RNAcentral.
GGCGAACGCUGGCGGCGUGCCUAACACAUGCAAGUCGAACGGAGUUAUUUUGAUUGAUCCCUUCGGGGUGAUUGAUUUUUAACUUAGUGGCGGACGGGUGAGUAACGCGUGAGUAACCUGCCUUUGAGAGGGGGAUAACGUUCCGAAAAGAACGCUAAUACCGCAUGACAUAUCGAAGCCGCAUGACUUUGAUAUCAAAGAUUUAUCGCUCAAAGAUGGACUCGCGUCCGAUUAGUUAGUUGGUGAGGUAACGGCUCACCAAGACCGCGAUCGGUAGCCGGACUGAGAGGUUGAACGGCCACAUUGGGACUGAGACACGGCCCAG